This 251-nucleotide ribosomal RNA is filed under the name uncultured Eubacteriales bacterium. Its description in RNAcentral is "uncultured Clostridiales bacterium partial 16S ribosomal RNA". It matches the Rfam family "Bacterial small subunit ribosomal RNA", at positions 88 to 339 of the family's 1533-position model. Lineage: Bacteria; Bacillati; Bacillota; Clostridia; Eubacteriales. The record is from RNAcentral.
UGACUUAGUGGCGGACGGGUGAGUAAUGCAUGAGCAACCUGCCCUGCAGUGGGGGACAACAGUUGGAAACGACUGCUAAUACCGCAUGGCACAUAGAUGUCGCAUGGCAUUUAUGUCAAAGAUUUAUCGCUGAAAGAUGGGCUCGCGUCUGAUUAGAUAGUUGGUGAGGUAACGGCCCACCAAGUCAGCGAUGGGUAGCCGGACUGAGAGGUUGAACGGCCACAUUGGAACUGAGAUACGGUCCAGACUCC